This 733-nucleotide ribosomal RNA is filed under the name uncultured bacterium. RNAcentral's name for it is "bacterial SSU rRNA". It matches the Rfam family "Bacterial small subunit ribosomal RNA", at positions 63 to 817 of the family's 1533-position model. The record is from RNAcentral.
CGAACGAGAGAAUUGCUAGCUUGCUAAUAAUUCUCUAGUGGCACACGGGUGAGUAACACGUGAGUAACCUGCCCCCGAGAGCGGGAUAGCCCUGGGAAACUGGGAUUAAUACCGCAUAGUAUCGAAAGAUUAAAGCAGCAAUGCGCUUGGGGAUGGGCUCGCGGCCUAUUAGUUAGUUGGUGAGGUAACGGCUCACCAAGGCGAUGACGGGUAGCCGGUCUGAGAGGAUGUCCGGCCACACUGGAACUGAGACACGGUCCAGACACCUACGGGUGGCAGCAGUCGAGAAUCAUUCACAAUGGGGGAAACCCUGAUGGUGCGACGCCGCGUGGGGGAAUGAAGGUCUUCGGAUUGUAAACCCCUGUCAUGUGGGAGCAAAUUAAAAAGAUAGUACCACAAGAGGAAGAGACGGCUAACUCUGUGCCAGCAGCCGCGGUAAUACAGAGGUCUCAAGCGUUGUUCGGAAUCACUGGGCGUAAAGCGUGCGUAGGCUGUUUCGUAAGUCGUGUGUGAAAGGCGCGGGCUCAACCCGCGGACGGCACCUGAUACUGCGAGACUAGAGUAAUGGAGGGGGAACCGGAAUUCUCGGUGUAGCAGUGAAAUGCGUAGAUAUCGAGAGGAACACUCGUGGCGAAGGCGGGUUCCUGGACAUUAACUGACGCUGAGGCACGAAGGCCAGGGGAGCGAAAGGGAUUAGAUACCCCUGUAGUCCUGGCAGUAAACGGUGCACGCU